GUUAAAGUGGCAGAGCCUGGUAAUUGGGUAAAACUUAAACCUUUAUAUUCAGAGAUUCAAAUCCUCUCCUUAACA
Ovis aries (sheep) is the source of this 75-nucleotide transfer RNA. It matches the Rfam family "tRNA". Rfam says of the family: Transfer RNA (tRNA) molecules are approximately 80 nucleotides in length. Their secondary structure includes four short double-helical elements and three loops (D, anti-codon, and T loops). The record is from Rfam. NCBI's taxonomy places the organism in Eukaryota, Metazoa, Chordata, Mammalia, Artiodactyla, Bovidae.